RNAcentral lists this microRNA precursor (104 nucleotides) under Marmota monax (woodchuck). Lineage: Eukaryota; Metazoa; Chordata; Mammalia; Rodentia; Sciuridae. The record is from RNAcentral.
AGUGGGAUAGCUAGGCCAAAUGGUCAUUCUAUUCCUAGUUUUUUUGAGGAAUCUCCAUACUACUUUUCAGAGAGGUUGUAUCAGUUUGCAGUCCCACCAGCAAU